GGUGUCUUCUGUGAAAUGUCAGCAAAAUGAAAUCCAGGGAGCCAUCAGGAUGAUAAGGAAAGGCCUCUGAUCCUAAAGUGAGACUGGACCAUGCAGAUUCGUGUUUGGAUGGUCGAUCUGCCUGUGUGUAUUACAGACCUCAGUGGUCCAAAGAUGCAAACAGUCAAUGUGCAAAAGUUCAUUAACUUGCAAAGCAGUAAGACAGAGUCCCCCAGGCCAAACUGCAGAUCUGCAAAUCACGGUGUAACGUAGAGGUGAAUAGUAAAACAGCAGAAAAGAAGAACGGAGAGAAGAGUACUGAUGGUUCCUGUUACUCCUUGCUGAGAAGAUACAUCUGUGUCUGCCACACUGCGUGUGGUAUCUCACAGCAGGCUCAUCCCGCAGAACCAGGGGAGAUCAUCAUUGGACCAAGACGGCAAAGACCCAAAGACCCUGUAUAGCCUUAGACGGAGUUGUUUAAGGACUUCUGUUAAACACAUUGCCUUCCAAGGACCUUAAAGCACGAUAUGCUACCCAGGAUUUUUCAUUCCCAGGACACAAUGCAGUCCCUGUUUGUUCAGCUCCAAGGUCGCUAGCCGAGUUGGCAUGUAAGGCUGAGUACAGCUGCCAGUGAACCAGAAUUGCUGAAGUUCUCUGCACUGUUGGAGUCUAUCAAGAUUUUAAGCUGCCGAUAGGAUGCUGAGGUUUAGGUUUUGUCUGAUUAAUGUUUUACUGUGAUUUUCUAUCCAAUUUGAUGAAAUUACAGUAGUUAUAAUUGCGAGCAUCAUGGGUAGGUAUUUCUGAGUGCAUGUAAUUUAUCAACUUUAAUGAGUAAAUAAGCACC
Grus americana (Whooping crane) is the source of this 823-nucleotide long non-coding RNA. RefSeq lists it as uncharacterized. The transcript is spliced from 5 exons. The record is from RefSeq and is a predicted model, not a curated record. NCBI's taxonomy places the organism in Eukaryota, Metazoa, Chordata, Aves, Gruiformes, Gruidae.